This is a non-coding RNA of Biomphalaria pfeifferi, 702 nucleotides long. Lineage: Eukaryota; Metazoa; Mollusca; Gastropoda; Planorbidae. The record is from the annotation of a GenBank genome assembly.
AUAUAUAUAUAUAUAUAUAUAUAUUAUAUAUAUAUUAUAUAUAUAUUUAUAUCUAUGACUGCAGGUUACCAACCAUAAGAGUCACAUAUUUAUAUGAGUCUAUCUUAGACUAGUCUAUCUAUUGUCCAACUUUUAAAAUUUCCAUUCCAAUCUAUUUUUAGCCAUUGAUUAAUCCGUCCAUCCGAUACUUGUAUUUUAUACUUGAUUUUUAUUAAGCCUGUUUAUUUUUCUUUGAUAUUUCGUUCUGGCUUGUAUUUAAAAGGACUCACUUUUCCUGGAGUAUUUUUUAUUUUAUUAAGUAUUCAGUGUAAUUUAAGCAUUGUAAUGGAAUGCGAUCACGAGUAUAAGGUGUACAAUACUACUUGCUUUGGGUUAAAUGGAUGUUAGUCGAACUAAAUGCAUUUUCAUAUACUUACCUGGCACAGGUAAAACAUCGACCUGUGAGCGUAGGUAUGAUACUUUUCAUAAUCCAUAAAAAUGGCUACCAUACAUUUUGUUCUCUACUAGUUAUGUAUGGUAGCCAUAUCUAUAGCCUUUUUGAAAUUAUCAUUUAUUUAUUUAUAAUUAAAAAUAUUUCCAGCAUGUACAAAGUUAGGUUCCAUUUUAAAUAAAACCUGGCAUUCAUUAGUUUUUUAGAGCAACAAAAAUCACGGUAUAAGAUGCAUAAAUAAGGAAAUUUCAUUAAAGACCCCCCCCCCCCCC